RNAcentral lists this ribosomal RNA (362 nucleotides) under uncultured organism. Its description in RNAcentral is "bacterial SSU rRNA". It matches the Rfam family "Bacterial small subunit ribosomal RNA", at positions 45 to 433 of the family's 1533-position model. The record is from RNAcentral.
UGCCUAACACAUGCAAGUCGAGCGCCCGUAGCAAUACGGGAGCGGCGCACGGGUGAGUAACGCGUGGGAACCUGCCCUUAGGUUCGGGACAACCGCGGGAAACUGCGGCUGAUACCGGAUGAUGCCUUCGGGCCAAAGAUUUAUCGCCUUUGGAGGGGCCCGCGUCGGAUUAGGUAGUUGGUGAGGUAACGGCUCACCAAGCCUGCGAUCCGUAGCUGGUCUGAGAGGAUGAUCAGCCACACUGGGACUGAGACACGGCCCAGACUCCUACGGGAGGCAGCAGUGGGGAGUAUUGGACAAUGGGGGCAACCCUGAUCCAGCAAUGCCGCGUGGGUGAUGAAGGCCUUCGGGUUGUAAAGCCC